Long non-coding RNA from Etheostoma spectabile (orangethroat darter), 786 nucleotides. RefSeq lists it as uncharacterized. The record is from RefSeq and is a predicted model, not a curated record. Lineage: Eukaryota; Metazoa; Chordata; Actinopteri; Perciformes; Percidae. The transcript has 3 exons.
GUGUGUGUGUGUGUGUGUGUGUGUGUGUGUGUGUGUGUGUGUGAAGGUAAUUGUAAAUAUCCACACAAGGGUAAAUGUUAUAUAAACACGGAAGGCAGCAGAGUGGGAAGUUACCACCAUCCCCCAGUCUAGUACAUUUUUAAAGUAGCUGUGGAGUUUAUGUGCAAUUUAAGCAUUUAAGCUAACCAUUUAGUCACACACUGGCUCGGGGUUUAAGUUAUUUUCCCACUCUGAAUUUAUAUAUAUAUACUGUAUAUAACACAUAUCAUGAGCAGAAAUUACAACUAAAUGUUACUCUGCGAUUGUUCUUACUUCACACCCCUACAAAAAAGGGAUUAUUAGAGAUCCUUUAUUUCCAUAAUCCUCAAUCCCACUGCCCUUUAAUGACGGGAUGGGCAUCUUCUGUACCCUAAUUACCACCGUCACGAGCUAGACAGCAAACGUGAAACCAGCCCCGUCGUUAAAGAGCAUAAUGGAGCAGCUAUUGUCAUUGUGCAUUUAGUAGAGUCACUGUAGCAAUACCACAACAGCAACGCUGCCGAGUCGAGCACACUCACGUUAUCUAGGUAGGACAUCCAUACAAAGGAGUCCAAUUAAGUUAAUUAUUUUGUUUUCUGCCUUUUUCUACCAGUGCAAUAUACAGCAAUGUUACAGGCAGCUUAUUUCUCCAAUUGCCAUUCAUUUUUUAUGCUAAUUAUACUAUGUUGAAUAUGUCAUUUUGUUUUCUGAGCUAUUUAUGAAUUCGGUUGGGUGUCUUAAAAUAAAGUUGCCUGAUUUUGUUUUGAA